Molecule: ribosomal RNA, 279 nt
Filed under: uncultured bacterium
Lineage: Bacteria
Description: partial 16S ribosomal RNA
Rfam family: Bacterial small subunit ribosomal RNA
Source: RNAcentral
UGCCAGCCGCCGCGGUAAUACGGAAGGUCCAAGCGUUAAUCGGAAUUACUGGGCGUAAAGCGCGCGUAGGUGGUUUAUUAAGUUGGAUGUGAAAUCCCCGGGCUCAACCUGGGAACUGCAUCCAAAACUGAUUCACUAGAGUACGAUAGAGGGAGGUAGAAUUCACAGUGUAGCGGUGGAAUGCGUAGAUAUUGUGAAGAAUACCAAUGGCGAAGGCAGCUAGCUAGAAUGGAUCCGACGGUGAGGGAUGAAAGCUAGGGGAGCGAUCCGGAUUAGAUA